AAGGGGCUCCAAGGUCUCCCCAGAGCCUUCUCUUCUCCAGGUGAUCCCCCCCAGCUCCCAGCCUGUGGUGUACCAGGGUUCAGCAAGAACAAGCCCCUUACCCCAGAGAGACACUGGCAGCAUCUCUGGAGACAAAACUCCUUACAAACAACAGCCAAAAGCCUGGAAGAACACUUGGAAAGCAGGGGAUGGGGAUGGAUGUACUGCAGUGACUGGCUCUGGUACAACACCACCCAAAAUCCACAGUGCAUUUCUAGAGGGAGGACGAUGAUUAAAGUAACAAGUUCUCCAGAAAGCACCUUGAUCUUCUAAAUGCAUCACAAUGAUACUGCUUGUUUUGUGCUUUCCUGAUCUUCCUACAGAUCCUGCAUUUUUGAGGCAGCAGAAAUGCUGGAGGAAGCUUUCUCCCUGUGCUGCAUCAUCAUGUCCGUGAAAGUCAGAGCUGAGGAAUAAACCCAAGCACAGCGUUUUGAGCACUGCAGGAAGAAAAAUAAAGGCGAUGCAACAACUCAUCUGUUGAAAUUUCAUCCAUAACUGGGUGUACCAAGGAAUUUCUCCGCAUUUAAUUGCUCUCGAGUGAGAAAAAAAAACUCCUUCUCUUUGCCUGAGAAGGGAAACCACAUCCAGCAAAGCCUGAGGUCUUUGCUUGACCCAAAGAAGAACACACCAGUCCAUCCAAAGGGACAUUCAGGCUCUUACACCUUUUGCACAUGAGUUUUCCUUAAUACUCCUGAAGAGAAGCUGCUGAGAUACCUCAACUCAUACAACAAAGGUGAUCUCACUCUCACUGAUGGAUGAGCUUUUGGUCACAGACAGAGGGGCAGGAACCUCAGGAUGAAAAAUCUGUGCUCUGAGAAAGGGCCUGACAAUGCACUUUUCCCCUUUUCCAUGCUGUGAAAGGACAUCGCAGCGCACAAGACCUCCCAUUUCUGCUGUCUGUGCAACUUCAGGCGUGUUCAACAUCUUCCCCCAAGGAAUAGUUAAAACUCCUGGAUGGAAUAAAUAGAACAAAAACUGUUUGGAGAGACCUGAGGGGUGAGAGGUGUC
Molecule: long non-coding RNA, 1047 nt
Organism: Pipra filicauda (Wire-tailed manakin)
Lineage: Eukaryota; Metazoa; Chordata; Aves; Passeriformes; Pipridae
Exons: 5
Source: RefSeq, a predicted model, not a curated record